Molecule: ribosomal RNA, 410 nt
Filed under: Lernanthropinus sphyraenae
Lineage: Eukaryota; Metazoa; Arthropoda; Copepoda; Siphonostomatoida; Lernanthropidae
Description: partial 16S ribosomal RNA
Rfam family: Bacterial large subunit ribosomal RNA
Source: RNAcentral
GGCCUUAAGGUAGCGUAAUAAUUAGUUUAGUAAUUCUAUUCAAGUAUGAAGAUAAAACAGUGGGGGUAUUUCUUCUUUUUUUAUUUGAAUUUUAGUUUUCAUUGAAAACGAUGAAAUAUAUUAAAAAGACGAUAAGACCCUAGAAUCUUUACUGAGUUUUAUUGGGAUAAUAAGUUGGAGUAAUAAAAUAGUUUUAUCUUAUUAAUAAUGAACCAUAUUAACGUUUUAAGAAAAAGAUACUCUAGGGAUAACAGCACAAGUUUAUAUUAGAGUCCCUAUCGAAUAUAAAAUUGUGACCUCGAUGUUGAAUUAAAGUACACUUGCCGCAGUAGGUUAGGUUAAUUAAGUCUGUUCGACUUAUUUACUUUACAUGAUUUGAGUUAAGAUCGACGUAAGACAGAUGGUUUUUC